GGGCAGGCCCGGCGCGGCGAAGCCUUUCGAAUCCCGCCAGGAUCGAAAGAUAGCAACGGUAAGGAAGAGUCUUCGGGUGCCGCCGGUAGCCUGCCCGGA
This 99-nucleotide signal recognition particle RNA is filed under the name Anaerolineales bacterium. RNAcentral describes it as "signal recognition particle sRNA small type". It matches the Rfam family "Bacterial small signal recognition particle RNA". Rfam says of the family: The signal recognition particle (SRP) is a universally conserved ribonucleoprotein involved in the co-translational targeting of proteins to membranes. Archaeal SRP consists of a 7S RNA and homologues of the eukaryotic SRP19 and SRP54 proteins. The record is from RNAcentral. Lineage: Bacteria; Bacillati; Chloroflexota; Anaerolineae; Anaerolineales. RNAcentral also lists the same sequence under 1 other name.